This 81-nucleotide transfer RNA is filed under the name Pseudonocardia sp. RNAcentral describes it as "tRNA-Leu". The record is from RNAcentral. Lineage: Bacteria; Bacillati; Actinomycetota; Actinomycetes; Pseudonocardiales; Pseudonocardiaceae.
GCCGCUCAGCGGCCUGAUCACGGCAGGGGAGCGGUUCCCCUUAAAAGGGUUCCAGUGUGGGUUCGAAUCCCACCGGGGGCA